UUGAAUUGGUCUCCAUCGUCUCCUAGACGUAUCCCCAUAGUGUCUGGAUCAAGUCAUGAUGAACAUAGUUUAGGGAGCCAACCGGGUGGAGCUGUGUUAACCCAUGGAUCAGAAUAUGCUCUUAAUUCACAAGAUAAUGAAAUUGAGAACAUUCAUGCAAACUUUAAUGAUGAGCGUUUGCCGGUAUUCUUUAAUGAGCAUGGGCAAUGGAACGGGCCAGCACAAUUUCCAACCUGGAUCGGAGAGAUUACAAGGUCACAAAUAGGAUUAGGGUAUAAGACUUGGAAAGAGGUUCCUGAUUAAUGCAAAGAAGACAUUUGGAACUCUGUUCAAAGUACGAACCAGGUAACAAA
Molecule: long non-coding RNA, 353 nt
Organism: Papaver somniferum (opium poppy)
Lineage: Eukaryota; Viridiplantae; Streptophyta; Magnoliopsida; Ranunculales; Papaveraceae
Exons: 3
Source: RefSeq, a predicted model, not a curated record